RNAcentral lists this long non-coding RNA (399 nucleotides) under Monodelphis domestica (gray short-tailed opossum). Its description in RNAcentral is "lncRNA (ENSMODG00000047522.1)". Lineage: Eukaryota; Metazoa; Chordata; Mammalia; Didelphimorphia; Didelphidae. The record is from RNAcentral.
GUGCAAAAGAAGAAAUAAGGGAGUGAGGGAGUGGGAUAGAGCAAGGGAGGGAGGGAGAAGAGGGAGGAAGUGGGAGAGAGAUGGGGAGAGGGAAGGGAAAAAAGGAGGAAGGAAGGCAGGAGAGAGAGAGGAGAGGGAGGGGGAGAGAGAGCCAGACAGAUAAGACCUCUUGGCAGAGGAAUAACUUGCUUUUCCAUACAAAGGAGUCAAAGCGAAUUCAUCUCAGCAAGAGAGGUCUGACAUUCUGGAAACUCAAUCUGUGAAUUGUGAACAUUUUGUCAGCAGAGGAAAAACAUGGUGAUUUGACUUGGUAAAAGAUCAGGAAGGACAAUAGGUUGUGAGUCAGAAGACUAAGUUUCUAGUUUUGGUCCUAUUACUAACUCACUGUGAGAUUGUAGG